AUACGUAGGGUGCGAGCGUUGUCCGGAAUUACUGGGCGUAAAGAGCUCGUAGGUGGUUUGUCGCGUCGUCUGUGAAAUUCCAGGGCUUAACUCCGGGCGUGCAGGCGAUACGGGCAUAACUUGAGUACUGUAGGGGAGACUGGAAUUCCUGGUGUAGCGGUGAAUUGCGCAGAUAUCAGGAGGAACACCGGUGGCGAAGGCGGGUCUCUGGGCAGUAACUGACGCUGAGGAGCGAAAGCAUGGGUAGCGAACAGGAUUAGAUACCCUGGUAGUCCAUGCCGUAAACGGUGGGCGCUAGGUGUAGGGGUCUUCCACGACUUCUGUGCCGUAGCUAACGCAUUAAGCGCCCCGCCUGGGGAGUACGGCCGCAAGGCUAAAACUCAAAUGAAUUGACGGGG
This 398-nucleotide ribosomal RNA is filed under the name uncultured bacterium. RNAcentral describes it as "partial 16S ribosomal RNA". It matches the Rfam family "Bacterial small subunit ribosomal RNA", at positions 523 to 918 of the family's 1533-position model. The record is from RNAcentral.